This 492-nucleotide ribosomal RNA is filed under the name uncultured bacterium. Its description in RNAcentral is "partial 16S ribosomal RNA". It matches the Rfam family "Bacterial small subunit ribosomal RNA", at positions 29 to 507 of the family's 1533-position model. The record is from RNAcentral.
AGUGAACGCUGGCGGUAGGCCUAACACAUGCAAGUCGAACGGCAGCACAGUAAGAGCUUGCUCUUACGGGUGGCGAGUGGCGGACGGGCGAGGAAUACAUCGGAACCUACUUUUUCGUGGGGGAUAACGUAGGGAAACUUACGCUAAUACCGCAUACGACCUACGGGUGAAAGCAGGGGAUCUUCGGACCUUGCGCGAUUGAAUGAGCCGAUGUCGGAUUAGCUAGUUGGCGGGGUAAAGGCCCACCAAGGCGACGAUCCGUAUCUGGUCUGAGAGGAUGAUCAGGCACACUGGAACUGAGACACGGUCCAGACUCCUACGCGAGGCAACAGUGGGGAAUGUUGGACAAUGGAGGCAAGCCUGAUCCAGCCAUACCGCGUGGGUGAAGAAGGCCUUCGGGUUGUAAAGCCCUUUUGUUGGGAAGGAAAAGCAGCAGGUUAAUACCCCGCUGUUCUGACGGUACCCAAAGAAUAAGCACCGGCUAACUUCGUG